RNAcentral lists this microRNA (24 nucleotides) under Apis mellifera (honey bee). Its description in RNAcentral is "ame-miR-1006-3p". Lineage: Eukaryota; Metazoa; Arthropoda; Insecta; Hymenoptera; Apidae. The record is from miRBase by way of RNAcentral.
AAAAUUCGAUUUCUUCUAUCAUUA